This is a long non-coding RNA of Pteropus alecto (black flying fox), 276 nucleotides long. RefSeq lists it as uncharacterized. The transcript has 3 exons. The record is from RefSeq and is a predicted model, not a curated record. Lineage: Eukaryota; Metazoa; Chordata; Mammalia; Chiroptera; Pteropodidae.
CUGAUGCUCACUAUUGGUAAGAGACAUUGGAGCAGACACCUGAAGGAAGUGAGGAGGUGAGGCAGCCAUCUGGAGAAGAGUGUGCUAAGUGAAGGAAGGGAUGUGAACACGGAAGUCCUCAGGAAGAGAGAACACAGGAUUCCAAGCAAUAUUGUCAAAGAAGAUGGAUCAUGAAGAAAGAGCAGACUACGAUGUCCACGAGGGCUGAAAUUUGCAUCCUGUGACAGAGGAGGUAAGUAAGCAACCCAGCAUGUCACAGUGGAAAGAGGACUGGAU